UUUUAUUUAUAAAUAUAUCAGUUAAUUUUUAUUGAUAUAUUCGAUCCACCACAAACAUCUAUUUUCUUUUCACAAAUUAUGUUAUAAAACUUCACACUGCGAAACUUUUGGCGAAUCAAGGUAAACAAACUUUGAGGUACAUCAAUCUUAAAAUUUUAUUUUUGCAUUAGAAGAUUUAAAAUAUUGAUAAAAUCAGAAGCUAAAUUAAAUCAAUUGAUACUUAAGUUUAUUUAAUUAAUUUGUCAUUUAAUUUAUAACUAUUUUUUGAUGAUCUAAUAAGUUUUCCAAAAAAUUUAAUAAUAAAGUAUUUUUUAAACAAAUUAUAAAUAAAAAUUUGUAAGUUAAAUUUAAAAAUUAUUUUUUUGUAUCUUAUAAAAGAAAAAUAGUAAUACGAUCGAAAGAAAGAAAAAAAAGAUGUCUUUGUAUU
This 427-nucleotide long non-coding RNA is filed under the name Ananas comosus (pineapple). Its description in RNAcentral is "long non-coding RNA (ACOM_LNC041402)". Lineage: Eukaryota; Viridiplantae; Streptophyta; Magnoliopsida; Poales; Bromeliaceae. The record is from RNAcentral.